GAUGAACGCUGGCGGCGUGCCUAAUACAUGCAAGUCGAGCGAACAGAUGAGGAGCUUGCUCCUCUGACGUUAGCGGCGGACGGGUGAGUAACACGUGGAUAACCUUCCUAUAAGACUGGGAUAACUUCGGGAAACCGGAGCUAAUACCGGAUAAUAUAUUGAACCGCAUGGUUCAAUAGUGAAAGACGGUUUUGCUGUCACUUAUAGAUGGAUCCGCGCCGCAUUAGCUAGUUGGUAAGGUAACGGCUUACCAAGGCGACGAUGCGUAGCCGACCUGAGAGGGUGAUCGGCCACACUGGAACUGAGACACGGUCCAGACUCCUACGGGAGGCAGCAGUAGGGAAUCUUCCGCAAUGGGCGAAAGCUUGACGGAGCAACGCCGCGUGAGUGAUGAAGGUCUUCGGAUCGUAAAACUCUGUUAUUAGGGAAGAACAAAUGUGUAAGUAACUAUGCACGUCUUGACGGUACCUAAUCAGAAAGCCACGGCUAACUACGUG
RNAcentral lists this ribosomal RNA (497 nucleotides) under uncultured bacterium. RNAcentral describes it as "partial 16S ribosomal RNA". It matches the Rfam family "Bacterial small subunit ribosomal RNA", at positions 28 to 507 of the family's 1533-position model. The record is from RNAcentral.